AAUAUUAUUAGCCUAGUGGACAUGGCAUCUGCCCGGUAAGCUGAACACUGUGGGUUCGAUUCCCAUCCUCGGACACUUUUAUUU
This 84-nucleotide transfer RNA is filed under the name Cordylochernes scorpioides. RNAcentral's name for it is "tRNA-Thr". The stretch from base 9 to 66 matches the Rfam family "tRNA", at positions 8 to 63 of the family's 71-position model. From Rfam's summary of the family: Transfer RNA (tRNA) molecules are approximately 80 nucleotides in length. Lineage: Eukaryota; Metazoa; Arthropoda; Arachnida; Pseudoscorpiones; Chernetidae. The record is from RNAcentral.